Molecule: long non-coding RNA, 944 nt
Organism: Lactuca sativa (garden lettuce)
Lineage: Eukaryota; Viridiplantae; Streptophyta; Magnoliopsida; Asterales; Asteraceae
Source: RefSeq, a predicted model, not a curated record
UAUCAUUUUGUCAUCAUUUUAGGAACACAGUAUAUGGUCGACUGGAAAGAGUCCUUGGAGGCCGCUCAUGUGCUUCAUGUCAUUCUACAACACCCCCCUUCACCCAACACAGUACAAUCACGAAAUGGUAAAAAUAUAAGAUAUACAUACCUGCUUAUGUUGAUAUUGGAGACACCCACUACCCGAUGAAAUGUUUCACCCAAGUUUCUAAAUUUUCAUUCUCAACCAUCUUUUCAUGCCGGAACUAACUAAUUUGUUGGUGGAAAUGGUGGUGGAGGUAGUGGUUCAUCAAUGAAAGAAAGCAAUGGAAGCUCAAGGGGUGUAGAUGGAGGUGGAGGUGGAGGUGGAGGUGUGUAAGAUAUGAUUGAUGCUCUUGCCAGGUUCUUGACCCAUAUCCUACGACAUAUGGCUUCUGAGCAGAGAUAAUUUGGUAAAAGAAGAGUAUACCUAUCCUGAUAUGAGGAUGAUUAACCAAUAAUAGGUAGACACUCUUAAAUAACAAUAUUAACAUAAAAGUUUGGAAUUUGGAUAUAAUGCAAUAGAAGAAAUGUUAGAACCUGAAAGUGAAGCUCUAGCAAUCCUAAAUCCUUUUGCCAAUGCCAAAGUCAAGCUCUAGUUCCGAAAUGGUGUCUGCUCCGGAACUCAUUGUGUCCGGACCCGAAGUCUAGAUGGUGAAGAGAAUAUUAAGAGUGAAGGCAUUCUGGAACAGAUUUUGUGUCCGGAAUGUUUGUUGUUCCGGAAUCAAUAUUUUGUCUUUAUGCAUUUAAUUUAAUUUGUCUUUUGUUUGAUUUAAUUAGACAUAGGAAUUAAUCUUUUGUCAACUUGGAUAUUCAGAGUGUCAGAUGUAACUCUUUUUUCCAGUCCGAUGAGUGUAAUCGGUUAGUACCAUGUACUUCUUUCUCCUAUUUAUAGGAGCAUUCAAUGUUAAAUCAAUAGAUAGAUUG